This 1364-nucleotide long non-coding RNA is filed under the name Equus asinus (donkey). Its description in RNAcentral is "lncRNA (ENSEASG00005038804.1)". Lineage: Eukaryota; Metazoa; Chordata; Mammalia; Perissodactyla; Equidae. The record is from RNAcentral.
GUGAUGGUCAGGAUGUGGGGAGCUUCUUCCAUAAAGCAGAGUCUGAUGGCUGGAAGAAUCUAGAAUUAUAUCAGAAGAAAGGAAAAAUUAGUGGGAAAUGACUUGACUUUACACUCGGUGGUUUGGAACAUUCCAGAGUCGAGAGAAGUUCUUCUUGUCACACGUGAUUUCAUAAUAAUUACGGCCAGCUGUGCCUGGGCAAUUCAGGUCAAGCCAGAUGCCAAAACCCAACUCAAACACUUACAGGAAGAUCCUCCUCAUGAAGAGCCUCCUAACAUCCUGUAGAAAAUCAGAAAAGGUCGCCAUCUUGAAAGAGGCUGAGCUACAUUUUGGUCCAUAUUCUCUUUAGCAGUAGCUAUGUUUAGCAGAGAAGCAAGAGACUGGAGAAUCCCUGCCUGUCAUCUUCAUAAAUAAGGUGGUGCUACACAGGAUGCUGGUGUUCUAGAUUAUAAUUCCUGGCCUCGUCCUCACCACCCCGAGAUGUCAGCCUCAAAUGGGAUAGGAAAUAUUCAACCAUAUUUCCAGCCUUCUUUGCAUCAAGUCUGGGACCUCUGUUACUGAAGAAAUACUGGACUGUAAUCACACAAAAUUAUAAUUUCAAUAGAAAGUCUAUUAAUACAUGUUUAAAUAUAGAACAUCUCUUUGAGACUUAUUUUAAUGAAUAUUCUUCCAGAAGUAUCUGUGUUUUAAGGAAGAUAAGGGGAAAGAAUUCAGAGAGAGGACUUUGAAUGCAAAGAGUUCAGAUCUUGGAGCACCUAAGUUGGAGAUUGUGCAGACAGAUGCAGGCCCUCUUCCACACACAGCCCUUCAAAAACUGUAAAUAGCGCUGUUACCUUCCCUGAGCUGUCUCUUCAAACUGAACUCAUCUGGCUCCAUGGAGUAUAUCUGGGGUAGCGUUUUUUGAAAUUGUUAAAUUAUAAUCCUUGAAGGUCCUGUGAUGAUACUACCUCUGAAUCUAGUCCUUGUCUCUUUUCCACCACCGUCUUUGACUUUGAAUUUCUCCCUGUUGUAAUGCAGCAUUUGUUCUCUGGGUUGUUGGGUAUUGUACCAGAAAGGGAGCAUUUCAAGUGUUGCCAGAUAAGAAUGGAAAAUAGAUAAUACUUUAUUUUUCUGUGAUCCAGAACAAGAAUUAAAAGCAAGGAGAGGGCUGGCCCCGUGGCUGAGUGGUUAAGUUCGCGCGCUCUGCUGCAGGCGGCCCAGUGUUUCAUUGGUUCAAAUCCUGGGCGCGGACAUAGCACUGCUCAUCAAACCACGCUGAGGCGGCGUCCCACAUACCACAACUAGAAGAACCCACAACGAAGAAUAUACAACUAUGUACCGGGGGAAUUUGGGGAGGAAAAGGAAAAAAUAAAAUCUUAAAAAAA